Molecule: ribosomal RNA, 253 nt
Filed under: uncultured bacterium
Lineage: Bacteria
Description: partial 16S ribosomal RNA
Rfam family: Bacterial small subunit ribosomal RNA
Source: RNAcentral
UACAGAGGGUCCGAGCGUUGUCCGGAUUCAUUGGGCGUAAAGGGCGCGUAGGCGGCGCGGAAAGUCUGUUGUGAAAUCCCGGGGCUCAACCCUGGAACUGCAUUGGAUACUUCCUUGCUAGAGUACUGGAGAGGAGAUUGGAAUUUACGGUGUAGCAGUGAAAUGCGUAGAUAUCGUAAGGAAGACCAGUGGCGAAGGCGAAUCUCUGGACAGUUACUGACACUGAGGCACGAAGGCCAGGGGAGCAAACAGG